AGCCUGCCUAGAGUCUGGAUUUUUUAAGCUGCUGGAUACCAGGUGCUACCUGACACCAGCUCAUCCCCUGCCUCUAGAGUCCUGGAGGGCUUUGAGUUGAUCACUUUCCACUCCAGGAAUGUUAUAAGAAACCGCUCAGAAAGGAACAAUUUUAAUGGUCGUGACUGGUUAUCUUCUCCCUCAUCUUACGCUGCAUUGUGUGUGUUGGGCCCAGAUCUACAAUUCAACUUCCUCAUGAGCGCAUGAGUCAGCAUUUCUUCAUGGCCUGUCAUUCUGUACUGUUUGCAAAAGUAUGAAAAAUAGAGACCAGCCCAUGGGAAUUUUGCUGGAGAGGUGAUUGCAAAUCUAUGGAUGAGACCAAGGGAGAAUUUUCACGCCAUCAUAGCAUUUUAUUCCUCACCUGACUGGGAGCAGCUCGAAGGGAAGGACAUGUCUCCAAAGACAUGAGGAGUAUUCAACGUGGCAUUCGAGGCGCAAGGAAAAACCUGCCUAUCCCAAGAUCUCAGCCCCAUCAGCCAGCCAAGGGAUCCACAAUGACCCUUAUGAAGUUUCAUAAGGAAGCUAAUUGCUUAAAUGAGAUUUGAGUCAAGAAGGAUGACCUAGCAAUAACCUCUAUAUAUCUCAUUAUGCCAAAACUUAAAUGGCUACAUAAGAGGACAGUCCAGUGACAGACAUGGAAAGAGGCUUAGAGGUCAUCUCAUUCAUCACACCAUUUUACAGAGGAAAGCAAAAUGCCAUCCAGAGAAGGAAAGUCACAAAGCCAUCUAACCCCAGACCUGGGAGUAGCAGCUGAUCACAGCGGGUCGGACACAAGAAGCUGCUUCCAAAAAUCUUUCCUUCCAUUUGUCCUACAGAGAAGACAUCAGAAAACAAAAUUUUAUAAGCAUGUCUCUAGCUCUAACUCACUAUUCAACUAAAGGACAAAUUAAAUAGGGAAUGAGAUAACCUUAACUUCAUGAGAUUUGUUCUUAUAUGCAGUUUUCUACCCUGAGAAACCAAUCUAUGCUAAAGAUAAUAUUUGUGCUUUUCAAUGAGGCUGGUAAAAUAUUUGCACUUUGAAGCUCAGAGCGAUAACAUUUAUUCAUUCGGGUGAAACUUAUCAGGAUUAGGUAAAUAUA
This 1118-nucleotide long non-coding RNA is filed under the name Homo sapiens (human). RNAcentral describes it as "HSALNT0332473". The record is from RNAcentral. Lineage: Eukaryota; Metazoa; Chordata; Mammalia; Primates; Hominidae.